RNAcentral lists this ribosomal RNA (255 nucleotides) under uncultured bacterium. RNAcentral describes it as "partial 16S ribosomal RNA". It matches the Rfam family "Bacterial small subunit ribosomal RNA", at positions 524 to 776 of the family's 1533-position model. The record is from RNAcentral.
UACGGGGGGUGCAAGCGUUGUCCGGAAUCACUGGGCGUAAAGGGCGCGUAGGUGGUGUCGUAAGUCUGUGGUGAAAGCCCGGGGCUCAACCCCGGGUCUGCCGCGGAGACUGCGAGACUCGAGUACUGGUAGGGGCUGGUAGAAUGCCGGGUGUAGCGGUGGAAUGCGUAGAGAUCCGGCAGAAGACCGGUGGCGAAGGCGGCCAGCUGGGGCAGUGACUGACACUGAGGCGCGACAGCGUGGGGAGCAAACAGG